UUGACGGAGCGAAGCGACGUCAAACCGAUAAAACAGCAGUGUAAAGUGAGCCGCAGGGCGCUUUGCGCGACAGCGCAAAGGCAGGCGGUUUCGCGUAGCGAAAGCGAAUGCUUUGGGGUGGGGUGACUGCGUACCUUUUGUAUAAUGGGUCAGCGACUUAUAUUCUGUAGCAAGGUUAACCGAAUAGGGGAGCCGGAGGGAAACCGAGUCUUAACCGGGCGUUAAGUUGCAGGGUAUAGACCCGAAACCCGGUGAUCUAGCCAUGGGCAGGUUGAAGGUUGGGUAACACUAACUGGAGGACCGAACCGACUAAUGUUGAAAAAUUAGCGGAUGACCUGUGGCUGGGGGUGAAAGGCCAAUCAAACCGGGAGAUAGCUGGUUCUCCCCGAAAGCUAUUUAGGUAGCGCCUCGUGAAUUCAUCUCCGGGGGUAGAGCACUGUUUCGGCUAGGGGGCCAUCCCGGCUUACCAACCCGAUGCAAACUGCGAAUACCGGAGAAUGUUAUCACGGGAGACACACGGCGGGUGCUAACGUCCGUCGUGAAGAGGGAAACAACCCAGACCGCCAGCUAAGGUCCCAAAGUCAUGGUUAAGUGGGAAACGAUGUGGGAAGGCCCAGACAGCCAGGAUGUUGGCUUAGAAGCAGCCAUCAUUUAAAGAAAGCGUAAUAGCUCACUGGUCGAGUCGGCCUGCGCGGAAGAUGUAACGGGGCUAAACCAU
RNAcentral lists this ribosomal RNA (718 nucleotides) under Salmonella enterica subsp. enterica serovar Mgulani. RNAcentral's name for it is "partial 23S ribosomal RNA". It matches the Rfam family "Bacterial large subunit ribosomal RNA", at positions 1 to 1190 of the family's 2925-position model. The record is from RNAcentral. Lineage: Bacteria; Pseudomonadati; Pseudomonadota; Gammaproteobacteria; Enterobacterales; Enterobacteriaceae.